RNAcentral lists this ribosomal RNA (694 nucleotides) under Salmonella enterica subsp. enterica serovar Tennessee. RNAcentral describes it as "partial 23S ribosomal RNA". It matches the Rfam family "Bacterial large subunit ribosomal RNA", at positions 711 to 1317 of the family's 2925-position model. Lineage: Bacteria; Pseudomonadati; Pseudomonadota; Gammaproteobacteria; Enterobacterales; Enterobacteriaceae. The record is from RNAcentral.
AGACCCGAAACCCGGUGAUCUAGCCAUGGGCAGGUUGAAGGUUGGGUAACACUAACUGGAGGACCGAACCGACUAAUGUUGAAAAAUUAGCGGAUGACCUGUGGCUGGGGGUGAAAGGCCAAUCAAACCGGGAGAUAGCUGGUUCUCCCCGAAAGCUAUUUAGGUAGCGCCUCGUGAAUUCAUCUCCGGGGGUAGAGCACUGUUUCGGCUAGGGGGCCAUCCCGGCUUACCAACCCGAUGCAAACUGCGAAUACCGGAGAAUGUUAUCACGGGAGACACACGGCGGGUGCUAACGUCCGUCGUGAAGAGGGAAACAACCCAGACCGCCAGCUAAGGUCCCAAAGUCAUGGUUAAGUGGGAAACGAUGUGGGAAGGCCCAGACAGCCAGGAUGUUGGCUUAGAAGCAGCCAUCAUUUAAAGAAAGCGUAAUAGCUCACUGGUCGAGUCGGCCUGCGCGGAAGAUGUAACGGGGCUAAACCAUGCACCGAAGCUGCGGCAGCGAACGUAUCACCCAAGACAACUUUACGGAGUUGACGAUUGACGGAGCGAAGCGACGUCAAAGCGUUCAUUAAAGUCGAGUUGGCUUAGGGAUACGUUCGUUGGGUAGGGGAGCGUUCUGUAAGCCUGCGAAGGUGGCCUGUGAGGGUUGCUGGAGGUAUCAGAAGUGCGAAUGCUGACAUAAGUAACGAUAAAG